This 497-nucleotide ribosomal RNA is filed under the name uncultured bacterium. RNAcentral's name for it is "partial 16S ribosomal RNA". It matches the Rfam family "Bacterial small subunit ribosomal RNA", at positions 28 to 507 of the family's 1533-position model. The record is from RNAcentral.
GACGAACGCUGGCGGCGUGCCUAAUACAUGCAAGUAGAACGCUGAAGCGAGGAGCUUACUCUUCUUGGAUGAGUUGCGAACGGGUGAGUAACGCGUAGGUAACCUGCCUUGUAGCGGGGGAUAACUAUUGGAAACGAUAGCUAAUACCGCAUAACAAUGGAUGACACAUGUCAUUUAUUUGAAAGGGGCAAUUGCUCCACUACAAGAUGGACCUGCGUUGUAUUAGCUAGUAGGUGAGGUAAUGGCUCACCUAGGCGACGAUACAUAGCCGACCUGAGAGGGUGAUCGGCCACACUGGGACUGAGACACGGCCCAGACUCCUACGGGAGGCAGCAGUAGGGAAUCUUCGGCAAUGGGGGCAACCCUGACCGAGCAACGCCGCGUGAGUGAAGAAGGUUUUCGGAUCGUAAAGCUCUGUUGUAAGUCAAGAACGGGUGUGAGAGUGGAAAGUUCACAAUGUGACGGUAGCUUACCAGAAAGGGACGGCUAACUACGUG